AAAGGCUUUACUGGGAAAGGACC
RNAcentral lists this non-coding RNA (23 nucleotides) under Cricetulus griseus (Chinese hamster). Lineage: Eukaryota; Metazoa; Chordata; Mammalia; Rodentia; Cricetidae. The record is from RNAcentral.